This 28-nucleotide small RNA is filed under the name Bombyx mori (domestic silkworm). RNAcentral's name for it is "ovarian small RNA-29624". Lineage: Eukaryota; Metazoa; Arthropoda; Insecta; Lepidoptera; Bombycidae. The record is from RNAcentral.
UCUCCAUAUAUGUAAAACCUACACCUCA